ACACAGUUUAAACAUAUACAGGUGAAACUCGAAAAAUUAGAAUAUCGUGCAAAAGUUAAUUUAUUUUAGUACUGCAACUUAAAAGGAGAUGCAUUAAUGCAACCUAAAAUUAGAAAAUUAGGGAAAGGUUCAAUAUUCUAGGCUCAAAGUGUCACACUCU
Bufo bufo (common toad) is the source of this 160-nucleotide long non-coding RNA. RefSeq lists it as uncharacterized. The record is from RefSeq and is a predicted model, not a curated record. The transcript is spliced from 3 exons. NCBI's taxonomy places the organism in Eukaryota, Metazoa, Chordata, Amphibia, Anura, Bufonidae.